CUCCGUCAAAAAGAUCGCUCUCUCAUAAAAUAGGUAAGCUUUCAUUAGGAAAGCCGAGGUAAGCUUUCAUUAGGAAAGCCGAGGUAGGCUCGUCUUGAUAAAGAGGGCUGAGGAAAUAAAAUAGUUUCGUCUUAAA
This is a long non-coding RNA of Nematolebias whitei (Rio pearlfish), 136 nucleotides long. RefSeq lists it as uncharacterized. The transcript is spliced from 2 exons. NCBI's taxonomy places the organism in Eukaryota, Metazoa, Chordata, Actinopteri, Cyprinodontiformes, Rivulidae. The record is from RefSeq and is a predicted model, not a curated record.